Non-coding RNA from Phascolarctos cinereus (koala), 562 nucleotides. Lineage: Eukaryota; Metazoa; Chordata; Mammalia; Diprotodontia; Phascolarctidae. The record is from RefSeq and is a predicted model, not a curated record.
AUGGAACUGACAUACAAUACUGAUGAACUUCUGCAGAGAUGGACAAUGCAGGCAUCCUUGAGCAACUUGAACCUCCUCUUGUCAUAUAACCUGGAAGAUUUGGUCAGCUUUUGUAUAAGCAGUGGACGCUCUGCUUUGUAAAUUCCAUCUGGAAUAGGAUCAGCGUAAGGUGCUUUGUCACAUGAGAAGAGCCUAAUGCAAAGUCAAUCUGGCAACUGUGUGGAGGAUGGAUUGGAGAGAGGAGACGUGAGCCAGCAAGACUUAUUAAAAAGUUAUUCCAAAGCCACCAAGAUUGCUGCUUCAAUGGAGGCAAGCAGAUCAACUCCCCUACACAUAAUCCAACAAAAACUUAAAAAUCACACCAGAAACUAGAGCAAAUGACUUCUUCCAUCAUAGAAUUGUACAGAAGCCCACAAGCAAUUGAAGUGAAGAAGAAGCCAGCACCAGAACAGACAAAAAGGCCUACAGAUGGAUGCUCAGAGAUGGAUCAGUAACGCCUGUAGGCUACAGGCUAUCCUGACAAGGCCUUGCACAGGGAUAUUUCACUGCUGGAGGAUGUCUG